GGAUAUAGCUCAGUGGUAGAGUGCGUAUCUAGCAUGUGCAAGGCCCUGGGUUCAAGGUUCAAUCCCUAGUAGUCCA
Molecule: transfer RNA, 76 nt
Filed under: Marmota monax (woodchuck)
Lineage: Eukaryota; Metazoa; Chordata; Mammalia; Rodentia; Sciuridae
Description: tRNA.Ala
Source: RNAcentral